Molecule: ribosomal RNA, 640 nt
Filed under: Escherichia coli
Lineage: Bacteria; Pseudomonadati; Pseudomonadota; Gammaproteobacteria; Enterobacterales; Enterobacteriaceae
Description: partial 23S ribosomal RNA
Rfam family: Bacterial large subunit ribosomal RNA
Source: RNAcentral
GUGUUAGUGGAAGCGUCUGGAAAGGCGCGCGAUACAGGGUGACAGCCCCGUACACAAAAAUGCACAUAUUGUGAGCUCGAUGAGUAGGGCGGGACACGUGGUAUCCUGUCUGAAUAUGGGGGGACCAUCCUCCAAGGCUAAAUACUCCUGACUGACCGAUAGUGAACCAGUACCGUGAGGGAAAGGCGAAAAGAACCCCGGCGAGGGGAGUGAAAAAGAACCUGAAACCGUGUACGUACAAGCAGUGGGAGCCUCUUAAUGGGGUGACUGCGUACCUUUUGUAUAAUGGGUCAGCGACUUAUAUUCUGUAGCAAGGUUAACCGAAUAGGGGAGCCGAAGGGAAACCGAGUCUUAACUGGGCGUUAAGUUGCAGGGUAUAGACCCGAAACCCGGUGAUCUAGCCAUGGGCAGGUUGAAGGUUGGGUAACACUAACUGGAGGACCGAACCGACUAAUGUUGAAAAAUUAGCGGAUGACUUGUGGCUGGGGGUGAAAGGCCAAUCAAACCGGGAGAUAGCUGGUUCUCCCCGAAAGCUAUUUAGGUAGCGCCUCGUGAAUUCAUCUCCGGGGGUAGAGCACUGUUUCGGCAAGGGGGUCAUCCCGACUUACCAACCCGAUGCAAACUGCGAAUACCGGAGAAU